Molecule: signal recognition particle RNA, 99 nt
Filed under: Deltaproteobacteria bacterium
Lineage: Bacteria; Pseudomonadati; Myxococcota; Myxococcia
Description: signal recognition particle sRNA small type
Rfam family: Bacterial small signal recognition particle RNA
About the family: The signal recognition particle (SRP) is a universally conserved ribonucleoprotein involved in the co-translational targeting of proteins to membranes. Archaeal SRP consists of a 7S RNA and homologues of the eukaryotic SRP19 and SRP54 proteins.
Source: RNAcentral
AGCUGGGUCCUGCGCAGCGGAUGACCGCAAACCCCGCCAGGUCCGGAAGGAAGCAACGGUAGCGGCCCUCUCCGGGUGCCGCAGGGGUGCCUAGCUAUC